Molecule: ribosomal RNA, 415 nt
Filed under: uncultured bacterium
Lineage: Bacteria
Description: bacterial SSU rRNA
Rfam family: Bacterial small subunit ribosomal RNA
Source: RNAcentral
AUAUUGGGCAAUGGCCGAGAGGCUGACCCAGCCAUGCCGCGUGCAGGACGAAGGCUUUCUGAGUCGUAAACUGCUUUUGCCAGGGAAGAAUAAGGCCCAUGCGUGGGCCGACGCCGGUACCUGGUGAAUAUGCACCGGCUAACUCCGUGCCAGCAGCCGCGGUAAUACGGAGGGUGCAAGCGUUGUCCGGAUUUAUUGGGUUUAAAGGGUGCGUAGGCGGUCCGUUAAGUCCGGGGUGAAAGCCCACUGCUCAACAGUGGAACUGCCCUGGAAACUGGCGGACUUGAGUACAGACGAGGGUGGCGGAAUGGAUGGUGUAGCGGUGAAAUGCAUAGAUACCAUCCAGAACCCCGAUUGCGAAGGCAGCUGCCUAGACUGUAACUGACGCUGAGGCACGAAAGCGUGGGGAGCGAAC